RNAcentral lists this ribosomal RNA (253 nucleotides) under uncultured bacterium. RNAcentral's name for it is "partial 16S ribosomal RNA". It matches the Rfam family "Bacterial small subunit ribosomal RNA", at positions 524 to 776 of the family's 1533-position model. The record is from RNAcentral.
UACGUAGGGGGCUAGCGUUGUCCGGAAUCAUUGGGCGUAAAGCGCGUGUAGGCGGUUCGGUAAGUCCGCUGUGAAAGUCGGGGGCUCAACCCUCGAAAGCCGGUGGAUACUGUCGGACUAGAGUACGGAAGAGGCGAGUGGAAUUCCUGGUGUAGCGGUGAAAUGCGUAGAUAUCAGGAGGAACACCUGUGGUGUAGACAGCUUACUGGACCAUAACUGACGCUGAGGCACGAAAGCGUGGGUAGCAAACAGG